This 203-nucleotide ribosomal RNA is filed under the name Enterococcus durans. RNAcentral describes it as "partial 23S ribosomal RNA". It matches the Rfam family "Bacterial large subunit ribosomal RNA", at positions 2223 to 2425 of the family's 2925-position model. The record is from RNAcentral. Lineage: Bacteria; Bacillati; Bacillota; Bacilli; Lactobacillales; Enterococcaceae.
UAACCCGCACCACUGAUCGUGGUGGGAGACAGUGUCAGAUGGGCAGUUUGACUGGGGCGGUCGCCUCCUAAAAGGUAACGGAGGCGCCCAAAGGUUCCCUCAGAAUGGUUGGAAAUCAUUCGAAGAGGGUAAAGGCAGAAGGGAGCUUGACUGCGAGACCAACAAGUCGAGCAGGGACGAAAGUCGGGCUUAGUGAUCCGGUG